Molecule: long non-coding RNA, 225 nt
Filed under: Phoenix dactylifera (date palm)
Lineage: Eukaryota; Viridiplantae; Streptophyta; Magnoliopsida; Arecales; Arecaceae
Description: long non-coding RNA (PDAC_LNC009174)
Source: RNAcentral
UUCAUAGAGUUAUUCUUAUUAAUCAUUUAGCAGCUUAUCCAAUAGUGAGUAAAGUAUACUAUAAAAUGAAGUAAUUUGAUUAUAUUUCCAAAAGUAUUUUCUAUAUCACAAAAUUGAUCAAUACUUGCAAUUCAUAUUUUAAUCAAAUACUAAAGCAAAAAUAAUGAUGAGAUGCAAGGAUUACUGAUUUCAUUAUUAUUAUUAUUAUUAUUAUUUUAUUUAAAA